AGACGGUGGACUAGGAAGACGCGUAAUUCGUGUCUCCGCACAACUAGGGCACCUACAAGGCACUGGUGGGGGACCAUGGACGACUAAGGGAACGGGAGGAACCUCCAGUGACCGGAUGAACUGGGCUGUGAGCUGUACUCUCUUUGACCUGUGAGAUUUUUGGAGGCUCCUUGAAUCUUGUUCAAACAUGAACCUGGGAAACUCCAUGUCCUAAUUCAAAGCUUCCUGACUGAACUCAGUGGAACUCCAGCUAAGGAAUUAAGUUGGAGGACAGCUAACAGAGGAGCAUAUGACACUACACUGAAAAACCAAAAGAGCUUGAUUAAGUUGAGGAGAGAAACAGCAGAUGGUCUUCAUGGAGGGAAGCCGCCAAUGACCACCAUCUCCUCAGUCUGUGACGGAUCUGCACUCUGAGGGUAGGCCUUCUGACAGCCGCCACUGGGCCAGGCGCUGCUUGAACCAUUUCUGGAGGAGGGAAAUGUGCAAAAUUACCUGUCACAUACUGAAAAACUGAAAUGUUCAUUCCCUUUCUAAAAGUAGCUUCUGUGGCCCAGCUGGAAAAGAGGAAAGCAGUCUGAGUC
Molecule: long non-coding RNA, 581 nt
Organism: Lagenorhynchus albirostris (white-beaked dolphin)
Lineage: Eukaryota; Metazoa; Chordata; Mammalia; Artiodactyla; Delphinidae
Exons: 3
Source: RefSeq, a predicted model, not a curated record